This 555-nucleotide ribosomal RNA is filed under the name uncultured bacterium. RNAcentral's name for it is "partial 16S ribosomal RNA". It matches the Rfam family "Bacterial small subunit ribosomal RNA", at positions 355 to 900 of the family's 1533-position model. The record is from RNAcentral.
UAGGGAAUCUUCCACAAUGGACGAAAGUCUGAUGGAGCAACGCCGCGUGAGUGAUGAAGGGUUUCGGCUCGUAAAACUCUGUUGUUGGAGAAGAACGGGUGUCAGAGUAACUGUUGACAUCGUGACGGUAUCCAACCAGAAAGCCACGGCUAACUACGUGCCAGCAGCCGCGGUAAUACGUAGGUGGCAAGCGUUGUCCGGAUUUAUUGGGCGUAAAGCGAGCGCAGGCGGUUUUUUAGGUCUGAUGUGAAAGCCUUCGGCUUAACCGGAGAAGUGCAUCGGAAACCGGGAGACUUGAGUGCAGAAGAGGACAGUGGAACUCCAUGUGUAGCGGCGAAAUGCGUAGAUAUAUGGAAGAACACCAGUGGCGAAGGCGGCUGUCUGGUCUGCAACUGACGCUGAGGCUCGAAAGCAUGGGUAGCGAACAGGAUUAGAUACCCUGGUAGUCCAUGCCGUAAACGAUGAGUGCUAAGUGUUGGAGGGUUUCCGCCCUUCAGUGCUGCAGCUAACGCAUUAAGCACUCCGCCUGGGGGAGUACGACCGCAAGGUUGAAAC